Molecule: long non-coding RNA, 510 nt
Organism: Pipistrellus kuhlii (Kuhl's pipistrelle)
Lineage: Eukaryota; Metazoa; Chordata; Mammalia; Chiroptera; Vespertilionidae
Exons: 3
Source: RefSeq, a predicted model, not a curated record
AGGAUUAGAACGAUUCGAGCAUAUUGGCACGCGGUGUAAAGAAUCUUAUCUUCCCAGCUUGCUCUAGAUCCUCAGACGCCUGGACUCAACUGUCCAGCCUCUGACUCCCCGCUUCUCACUGCGCAGAGGUGAUAUUGGUCGUGUCUAAUGCCUAGGAGCUAGCACUGUGCUCACUGUGUGUCCUCCCUAACAGUGCCGUGUGGUAGGUGUACCUUAUUGUGUGUGAGGGGAGAGCAGGUUUACCUCAUUGGGUUGCUAUGAGGCUGGAUGAGAUCAUAGAUGUGUGGGUGGUUUGUAAAUCAAAGAAAGCUCUAUGCAAGUAUAAAGUGGUUCCUCUGCUUCUCUUGGCCUUGCUGUCCAAAAAAAAAAAAAGGAAAGAAAAGACAAGGGAGUGGAGUGGAGGGGAUUGUUCCUGCUGACUCCAAGCAGAUUUCCACCAGCCAGGAUAGUUUCACGUUAGUCCAUGGAGCACAGGAGUUAGACACGGAGGAAAAGGAACUAGAAGAAAUU